RNAcentral lists this long non-coding RNA (201 nucleotides) under Homo sapiens (human). RNAcentral's name for it is "long non-coding RNA NONHSAT220124". The record is from RNAcentral. Lineage: Eukaryota; Metazoa; Chordata; Mammalia; Primates; Hominidae.
AGCCCUGCACACCCCUCACCCCGGGCCUGGCCCGGGACCGACCACGGAGGCGGAGGCCGCGGGCACCGCGCUGGCCCCACAGGUGCCGCGGAGGGUGGCAGGCCCGCUGGCCGAGGCACUGCCGAGGCCGUCCGAGAUGGGAGCUGGCGGUGCCUCCUUCCGCGCCCUCGCCUGGGCCUCCCUGCCCCUGCUGGGGCCUCC